UCAGACAUAUGGGUGCUUCUUAUUCUCAGU
Molecule: non-coding RNA, 30 nt
Filed under: Rattus norvegicus (Norway rat)
Lineage: Eukaryota; Metazoa; Chordata; Mammalia; Rodentia; Muridae
Source: RNAcentral